Molecule: ribosomal RNA, 851 nt
Filed under: uncultured bacterium
Lineage: Bacteria
Description: bacterial SSU rRNA
Rfam family: Bacterial small subunit ribosomal RNA
Source: RNAcentral
GCGGACGGGUGAGUAACGCGUGAGCAACCUGUCCUUGUCUGGGGGAUAAGAAGCCGAAAGGCUUUCUAAUACCGCAUGAGACCACGGGAUCACAUGAUUCUGAGGUCAAAGGAGUAAUCCGGACAAGGGUGGGCUCGCGUCUGAUUAGCUAGUUGGUGGGGUAACGGCCCACCAAGGCGAUGAUCAGUAGCCGACCUGAGAGGGUGAUCGGCCACACUGGAACUGAGACACGGUCCAGACUCCUACGGGAGGCAGCAGUGGGGAAUAUUGGGCAAUGGGCGAAAGCCUGACCCAGCAACGCCGCGUGAAGGAAGAAGGUUUUCGGAUCGUAAACUUCUAUCCCAGAUGAAGAUAAUGACGGUAAUCUGGAAGGAAGCCCCGGCUAACUACGUGCCAGCAGCCGCGGUAAUACGUAGGGGGCAAGCGUUGUCCGGAAUGAUUGGGCGUAAAGGGCGCGUAGGCGGCCUUCUAAGUCCGGUGUGAAAGUCCUGCUUUUAAGGUGGGAAUUGCAUUGGAAACUGGAAGGCUUGAGUGCAGGAGAGGUAAGUGGAAUUCCCGGUGUAGCGGUGAAAUGCGUAGAGAUCGGGAGGAACACCAGUGGCGAAGGCGACUUACUGGACUGUAACUGACGCUGAGGCGCGAAAGUGUGGGGAGCAAACAGGAUUAGAUACCCUGGUAGUCCACACUGUAAACGAUGAGUGCUAGGUGUAGGAGGUAUCGACCCCUUCUGUGCCGGAGUUAACACAAUAAGCACUCCGCCUGGGGAGUACGGCCGCAAGGUUGAAACUCAAAGGAAUUGACGGGGGCCCGCACAAGCAGCGGAGCAUGUUGUUUAAUUCGAAGCAACGCGA